This 346-nucleotide unclassified non-coding RNA is filed under the name soil metagenome. Its description in RNAcentral is "partial contains 5.8S ribosomal RNA, internal transcribed spacer 2, and large subunit ribosomal RNA". The stretch from base 1 to 120 matches the Rfam family "5.8S ribosomal RNA", at positions 35 to 154 of the family's 154-position model. The record is from RNAcentral.
GAUGAAGAACGUAGCAAAAUGCGAUAAGGAAUGUGAAUUGCAGAAUUCAGUGAAUCAUCGAAUCUUUGAACGCACAUUGCGCCCGCCAGUAUUCUGGCGGGCAUGCCUGUUCGAGCGUCAUUUCAACCCUCAAGCCCUCGGGUUUGGUGUUGGGGAUCGGCGAGCCUUUCUGGCAAGCCGGCCCCGAAAUCUAGUGGCGGUCUCGCUGCAGCCUCCAUUGCGUAGUAGUAAAACCCUCGCAACUGGAACGCGGCGCGGCCAAGCCGUUAAACCCCCAACUUCUGAAUGUUGACCUCGGAUCAGGUAGGAAUACCCGCUGAACUUAAGCAUAUCAAUAAGCGGAGGA